GGUGAGUGUUGGCAACACUGGCAGCAGCAGACGACGUCAACAUUUCCUCCCAAAAAAUUUGGUUAAAUUGUAAUUUUUCUGUGAACCAGCGAUGUUUUUGACCUGAUGUUGAAGACCAACGUCUCCAGGAUCAUUGUUGGAUGGUCCUUUGUGAUAGCACUAGGUGUUGGAGGAUUUGUUUGGACAAAAAAGCAAAUUGACUAUAACAGGCGAGAGGCAAUGAAAGUUCGACA
This is a non-coding RNA of Cherax quadricarinatus, 233 nucleotides long. Lineage: Eukaryota; Metazoa; Arthropoda; Malacostraca; Decapoda; Parastacidae. The record is from RefSeq and is a predicted model, not a curated record.